CAAUCAUUCUGAAUAUGGCUGGCUUAUCCGGAGUUCUUUACCAUUCCACACUGCUCCAUUUGUCCACACAAUAUAGACUCCUGAAGGGGGAGGAAGAAACUAAAGAGAGGAAGAUGCCAUGUUCUGUUUGCUAAAAGCUUGAAUAUUGUGUGGGCAUAUUGUGAAGAUGAUUGGCAGAUGACGGAGAGAUUAUCUCCUGUGACCUCUGCAUCAGCUCCUGCUUCCUGAUCUGCUUGAGGUCCAGUCCUGACUUCGUUGGUGAUGAACAGCAAUGUGGAAGUGUAAGCUGAAUAAAUCCUUUCCUCCCCAA
Molecule: long non-coding RNA, 310 nt
Organism: Rattus norvegicus (Norway rat)
Lineage: Eukaryota; Metazoa; Chordata; Mammalia; Rodentia; Muridae
Source: RefSeq, a predicted model, not a curated record